Molecule: ribosomal RNA, 498 nt
Filed under: uncultured bacterium
Lineage: Bacteria
Description: partial 16S ribosomal RNA
Rfam family: Bacterial small subunit ribosomal RNA
Source: RNAcentral
AUUGAACGCUGGCGGCAUGCCUUACACAUGCAAGUCGAACGGUAACAGGUCUUCGGAUGCUGACGAGUGGCGAACGGGUGAGUAAUACAUCGGAACGUGCCUAGUAGUGGGGGAUAACUACUCGAAAGAGUGGCUAAUACCGCAUGAGAUCUACGGAUGAAAGCCGGGGAUCGAAAGACCUUGUGCUACUAGAGCGGCCGAUGGCAGAUUAGGUAGUUGGUGGGAUAAAAGCUUACCAAGCCGACGAGCUGUAGCUGGUCUGAGAGGACGAUCAGCCACACUGGGACUGAGACACGGCCCAGACUCCUACGGGAGGCAGCAGUGGGGAAUUUUGGACAAUGGGCGAAAGCCUGAUCCAGCAAUGCCGCGUGCAGGAUGAAGGCCUUCGGGUUGUAAACUGCUUUUGUACGGAACGAAAAGCCCCGGGUUAAUACCCUGGGGUCAUGACGGUACCGUAAGAAUAAGCACCGGCUAACUACGUGCCAGCCGCCGCCGUAA